This 301-nucleotide ribosomal RNA is filed under the name uncultured bacterium. RNAcentral describes it as "partial 16S ribosomal RNA". It matches the Rfam family "Bacterial small subunit ribosomal RNA", at positions 509 to 807 of the family's 1533-position model. The record is from RNAcentral.
CAGUAGCCGCGGGAAUACGGAGGGUGCAAGCGUUAAUUGGAAUUACUGGGCGUAAAGCGCACGCAGGCGGUCUGACAAGUCAGAUGUGAAAUCCCCGGGCUUAACCUGGGAACUGCAUUUGAAACUGUCAGGCUGGAGUCUUGUAGAGGGGGGUGGAAUUCCAGGUGUAGCGGUGAAAUGCGUAGAGAUCUGGAGGAAUACCGGUGGCGAAGGCGGCCCCCUGGACAAAGACUGACGCUCAGGUGCGAAAGCGUGGGGAGCAAACAGGAUUAGAUACCCCGGUAGUCCCUGUCUCUUAUAC